Molecule: long non-coding RNA, 744 nt
Organism: Rosa rugosa (rugosa rose)
Lineage: Eukaryota; Viridiplantae; Streptophyta; Magnoliopsida; Rosales; Rosaceae
Exons: 3
Source: RefSeq, a predicted model, not a curated record
GUGUGGAACAAUUUGGUUGGGGAUUUUAUCUCUUCAAGUCUUCAUCUUGGACAUGAGGAUCGAGGGCAUCCCUUAACAAAAUGAAGACAAACUAAUUCCAUAUGCUACGUUUUAACUUGUAUGGAAAAUAGAACAAUCAAUGUAAGCACAUGAAUCAUAAGCAUCCCUCCAGCUAAGGAAGUAAAGGCCAAGCCCCCAAAAAGUGAUCGAUCUGCUUGCGUGCAUGGUUGGGUAAUUGUCUUCCCUUCACAUGAAUCGAUGACAGGUUUGUUUUCGAUGGUCGACUUCUUAUUUCUGGAUCUGAAAAUUGCAAAAAUCCAGGCUGAAUGAGAAACAGAGAGAAAAGAGAAAAAGGAAUGGUAGAUAUUGAAGACCGACUUAGUCCUUAGAAUAAUGGGUUCUAGCUAAGAUAUUGUAUAAUAUAUCUGUCCCGUUAUAAUAAAUAUCUUAGAAAUCUUGGAUCCAUCAAUGAGUGCAGGGACUGAAUCUAAGAGUACGUUGCUGUGCUUAAAUUACACUAUAAUUGAGAAGAGAAAUGACAAUUCUUGCAACUUGACAAUGGGGAGGUAAUAAUACAUUUCGAGAAGAAAGAGGUCUACCUUACUAGAAUUGAAGCGGAUUAGAGCAUUUUAUCAAUAGUCACAAAUAAAUUGGACGUUUCAAUUAUGUAGAAGCUAAUUAUCAAUCAGUAUUGAAAAACAAAUUAUUUUUCAUUUUUUAAGUCGAUUAAAGUGUGAUUUUGAA